This 318-nucleotide long non-coding RNA is filed under the name Pan troglodytes (chimpanzee). Its description in RNAcentral is "long non-coding RNA NONPTRT014039". Lineage: Eukaryota; Metazoa; Chordata; Mammalia; Primates; Hominidae. The record is from RNAcentral.
CUGGCCAACAUGGUGAAACCCUGUCUCUACUAAAAAUACAAAAAUUUGGCAGGCGUGGUGGUGGGCACCUGUAAUCCCAGCUACUUGUGAGGUGGAGGCUGAGGCAGGAGAAUUACUUGAACUGGGAAGGCAGAGGUUGCAAUGUCCUCCAGCCUCAGCCCCUCCAGUAGCUUGGACUACAGGCACAUGCCACUACACCUGGCUAAUUUUUGUAUUUUUUGUAGAGACAGGGUUUCACCAUGUUUCUCAGGCUGGUGUUGAACUCCUGAACUCAAGUGACCUGCCUGCCUCAGCCUCCCAAAGUGCUGGGAUCACAAG